UGGGAAUAACCAUUAUCAGUGAGUGCAUA
This 29-nucleotide non-coding RNA is filed under the name Rattus norvegicus (Norway rat). Lineage: Eukaryota; Metazoa; Chordata; Mammalia; Rodentia; Muridae. The record is from RNAcentral.